Molecule: long non-coding RNA, 1863 nt
Organism: Anolis carolinensis (green anole)
Lineage: Eukaryota; Metazoa; Chordata; Lepidosauria; Squamata; Anolidae
Exons: 2
Source: RefSeq, a predicted model, not a curated record
UGAGGUACGGAACAGCUUGUGAUGUCAUAAAACAUUUCUGAAUAUUAUCACUCUUUCCAGUGAAAGAUCAUUUUAAAUGUAGUAAGAACAAGUAGGGAAGGAAUCUGAACACUGUAAAACUUAAUGUGAAAAUGAUACAGACAUCCAAAGGGUAUUGACAUUAGAAGCAAGGCAGCUGAAGGAAGAGAACAGAUUAGGAUUGCAUUGAGAGCAAAUCAAAGAUAAGAUAAGGACAAAAGAAAAGAAGGGUAAAAAGUGAUGAUAACUGUGAAAAGAUACUGUGAAAAAACACUGUCACCUGUGAUUAAACUAACUUACUUUAGUCAUACCAUUAAAACUACGUCCACAUAUUUAUUAGCUAAUUGAGACAAUGCAAGCUCAAUUCCAAUGCAAAGAUCUAUUUAAUCUCAUUUGCUGUGCAAAUAUUUAUAUUUUAUGGAGAUGUCUGACAUUUUAAAAUAAUGGAUUUUCAAUGACGUUGUAAAUAUUAUAAUAUAUAAAAUUGAAAAAUGGACAAAUUACAACUGUAAAUUGCAGUGAAAUAAGCCCACCAUAAUGAGCGAACAGGAUUUAUUAAACACUUAUACAGGUUCCAUUGAUUCAAUGGUCUACUUUAGUGGAUACUAGCAAUUGGAUUUGGCCCAACAUCUGAAUGAGAUAACAAUAUUGUCAGCACAAAGCAUUCUUAUCAAACUAACAAAUUAGAAAAAAAAUCAAUUAUCUGACCUUAUGGAUAGAUAUUUUUAAAUUAUAAAACUUUAAUUAGCUUUUCUUUCUCCUUCCAUCAUACUUUGUAAUAAUAACAUUGGUAUUGUUAUGGUUGAGCCUUAUGGCUCCGAUACUGGGAGACGUGGUCGUAAGACUCCUCGGGAGUCAGACUCUCUUGAGGAGCGAGAAAGGAAAUGGCUGCGGGACUUAUUUGCAGAACCAACUGACGAAGACUCCUUUGAGGGUUUUACCGAGGGAAUGGAGGAAGAGAUGGUUAGCUCAGAGGAGGAUGAUAUGGAAUGGACUCGUGUGAGGGAGGAUUUGGGUGCCACCGGCAAUGAUAGUAUGGGAGGCGACUGGGGGGUUGCAGGAUUAGACCCGUGGAUGAGCUGGAGGGAUGGGACAGGAUCCACAGCUGGGGAUGCUGUGGGGCGUAGUCAAAGGUGUUUUAGUUCUGAUGAGGAGGAUGAUGAUGAGGCACCUGGAAUUAGGGUAACAGCUGACAGCGAUGAGGAGUUGUAAACUGGCAUAAAAUGGGGUUUAGAAUCCAGGGCUAAUUGCGUUGGGCAAGGUAAUCUGGACGAACGCUUGGGCUCUUGUUGGGAAUUUCCUGAAGACGGGUGUGAUUCGUUUGCUGAAUACCUUGGACCUCCGUCGUCUUUUUGACGGACAUUAAUUGCCUACUCUGGAUUGACGCUGGACUGGCUGACUGACUUCGACCUUGGACUAUCCCUUCUGUGAUUAUCGGUGGAACUGGUGAACUAAAGACGUCUGUACCUGGCCUUCGACCUUGGACCGGAUUGGGACCCCGCUGACUGCUUCUGCCCUGAUUGAUGUGUUUGGACCCGGAGUUCGCUUGCUGCACGGAGGAGUAACAACUUAGUUAAUCAACCACAGCUGUUGAGUAGCAGAGAGUAAUCUGCUGCCAGUUAUUUAUGUUUCAUUGAAUCUUAGUUUACCAGUUUUUGUUUGUUUUAAGAGCCAGGCUGAAGUAAGCAUUUUUGGUUUAACCCGGAUUAAACUCCCGUUUAAUCCGGUUUAUCUUUUGAACUGUUUUUUAGUGUCUUUUCAUAUUGAAGGCGAGUUUUUGCCUAGCCCUUUGUCUUUUACGGGCAUUUUUGGUUCUGUAUCUUUAAUAAACUGUGUUGAAUCUUA